RNAcentral lists this unclassified non-coding RNA (453 nucleotides) under uncultured Bordetella sp. RNAcentral describes it as "partial 16S-23S ribosomal RNA intergenic spacer". It matches the Rfam family "Bacterial small subunit ribosomal RNA", at positions 343 to 794 of the family's 1533-position model. Lineage: Bacteria; Pseudomonadati; Pseudomonadota; Betaproteobacteria; Burkholderiales; Alcaligenaceae. The record is from RNAcentral.
UGGGCGCAGCAGUGGGGGAAUUUUGGACAAUGGAAACCCUGAUCCAGCCAUCCCGCGUGUACGAUGAAGACACUUCAGUUAUAAAAACACCUUUUAGCGGAAAGAAACAGCACAGGAUAAUACCUGCAACUGACGGUACCUGCAGAAUAAGCACCGGCUAACUACGUGCCAGCAGCCAUGAUAAUACGUAGGGUCUGAAGACCAAUCAGGUACUGGGCGUAAAGCGUGCGCAGGCGGUUCAAGGAAAGAAAGAUGUGAAAUCCCAGAGCUUAACUUUGGAACUGCAUUUUUAACUACCGAGCUAGAGUGUGUCAGAGGGAGGUGGAAUUCCGCGUGCUAGCAGUGAAAUGCACGUAGAUGUGCGGAGGAACACCGACGGCGAAACAACCUCUGGAUGUUACCCGACGCUCACGAAAAGCGUGGGAGCAAACAGGAUUAGAUGCACCUGGUAGU